This is a long non-coding RNA of Alligator mississippiensis (American alligator), 8768 nucleotides long. RefSeq lists it as uncharacterized. The transcript is spliced from 3 exons. The record is from RefSeq and is a predicted model, not a curated record. Lineage: Eukaryota; Metazoa; Chordata; Crocodylia; Alligatoridae.
AUGUGAGGAUCCAACUAAUAUUUCUGUUAGUGCUUUUCACAGUGCCCAGAAACUGUUAUAUUUUUUUGUCUCAUUUUAAUAACUACCUUUGGUAAGUAGAAGACAGAAAGGGAGGCAGUUGAUUUGAGUUGUUAGUGCUGAGAGCAACAGCUUUGGUGGGGGAUGAAGAAAUGAAAGAGUAAGUUUUCUGAUUAGUGUCAUAGACAUGAACACUGUGAUCGUCCUUCCAAAGCAAAUGGGCUGGUGAGACAGUGUAAAGUCGGGAAGAGUUCAGCCAUGGACACUGUCAUGUAAAGUGUUGUUUCUGGCUUUGGAUUGACCUGUAUCUUAAUGUUGUAUCUGUUGGGAACAUCCUCUGGAGAAUGUCACUCAAUAGAAACAAUAACAAAAAUUAGAUAUCCUACUACUUUGAUGCCAAACAGUAAUGAGAACAGACGGCACUGUCUGUGGUAACUAAAAUGUUCAGUGUUUAGCUGUGGAGAGAGGCAUCCAUCCAGCUGGCCCUAAGAUCCUGAGUUUAACUAACUAACCGUUUUCUCUCUGUGAUCUCUACCAACAUGAACGUUGAUGAAGCUAGUUCUCAAACAUGGAAUUAAACCACAACAGGGCUGUGAUGGUGUUUUCCGACCCCUUUAAUUCAUAGCUACUUGACACUGUCCCUUCAAAGAAGGAUGAGCUAGCAGGAGCUGAGGAUCAGAAACAGGAUGCAUGGUUCCUGCUGAUCAUUGUGUAUGUAGGCUUAUUGACCCUUCUGAGUGCAGCCUCCUCUUCCUUUCUGUACUCUCUCCAUCAGCCAUAGCAGCUGGUUCAUGAUCUGAAAGAAACUCUAAUGGAAAAGAGAUGUUUGCCAAGUGGAAGAGGAGAAAACCAGCGGAUGUUGCAGACACAUCUGUUAAAACUGGAAAACAGAAUAAACUGUAAAAAUGGUAUUUGGGUCCCCUUUACAAAUUCUGGUGACUCAAAGGAGAGGAAGAAUGGGCUUGCAUUUCAACAGCUUAACUAGGAUUUUGAGGGGUCCUGGGGUUGAUUUCCAGCUCUGCCAAAGAAAGGUUACUUUGGAUAUUUAUAUGAAAGCUGAGGGAGAUUCAUUGAGUGUGAGUACAGCAGCUUAGGAUUUUUCUCCCCCUUUACUGUUGCUUUUUCAUACUAUAGAUUAAAUUGAUUUUUUCACUCCAUAAACUAGAUUUCCACUACUUUUUUCAUAUUUGUCAUGAAAUUAUUCGGGACGGCUGUUUAUUGUAAAAAUAGCUAGCAAAUCUUUUAGUAUGCCUACUUAUACACACAGAGUAGACAUUUGACACUGAAAGAGUUAAAAUCCUUUCUGUGGAGGAAGAAGAUAAUGGAGUGCUACAGAUAGUGUUCUUGACAUUUCAAGGUGGUGUGCUGUCCUUCCAUAAGGACAAGCUAAAAAGAAUGAACUAAUAACGCCCACACAAUUUCUGUAACCUGCCCCUACAUUCUUUUCCAUUCAGUGGGAAUCCUCCUGGUAACACUUGACGAGUCAGACCUUUAAUACAGUAUUAGUUUAUAGAAAAAAUGGACCAAUGAGAUUUACAGUUUACAUGACCUGUCAGUGUUGCAUAGAAGAAAUACUGAAGAUCUCUACUGUAACGUGCUACCUAGUGCAGUAUUUUGGAAGAGCGGUUGUGUUUUAGCUCAGUAUUUUGGAAGAUCUAAGUGUCUUAGAUCAAUUCCAUCAUGCUCUUCAAGAAAGGCCACUCUACUUGCACAUUAAAUUGCAUUCAUUGUAAAAUUAGUACUUCCUUUUUAACAUAGAGGAGAAGCUUAGAAGAUAUAAUGGACUUGUACAAACUUAGCCACAGUAAUCUCCUGCCAGAUAUGUGCUUCAUUAUUUAGGUGGCAUUACACUGAUAGACUCCUUCAGAUGCAAAGUGGACAUGCAAACCUAUCUUUCUGUCUUUGUUUGCUUAACUUAUUAUAAGCAAAAAAAACUGUGCGGACAGAAAGUGCUGAUUGCAGGUGGUGAGGGGAAGUUAAUCUUGAUUUAAAACUUCAGUCAAUAUGGCCCAGACUUCUGAGUGGUUCUAAGUGGUACAAUCACAUUUAUGAGAAAAAACAGAACUUCUGAAAAUUUGAGCAAUAAACUGCCUAAUUUUGAUAAUUCAAUGUGCAUCUUGAAUGACACAGACAAAUGCAGCUUUUAAUUAUUAUAACAUUGUUAUUGGGCUUUUAAUAAGCAAAGAUUCUUUAACCUUUUCCUUUUCUAUGUAUUGAUCUUGGAGUUUAGACAGAAAAUAUCUUAAGCUAUGCGACCAACAGGCAUUGAAUUGUUGUUGUUAGUAGUAGCAGUAAACACAUUAACUGUUACAUUUUGAAGAUAUUAAACAACUGUGAUAUUUUUUAACUGGUUCUUUUUGUACGAAGAAUCCUAGUAGAUGGCAAGAUAAAUAUCAAUGGAGUUGCAUUCAAAAUCUGUUUUAUUUACCUGGUCCAGCCUGAGUGAGCACAGCAGUUUUGCCUUGCAUUUCAUAGGUCAGCAAAUCUGGGAGGUGCACGCAGCCAUACCUGCGGUUCUCCAUUGUUAUGUGUCUGUUGAAUUACUCCAGGGACAUGUGAGUGUGUGGGGGAAACUUACUGAAGUUACCAAAUAGAGGUUCAUAAUGUCAAACUGCCGAAGUUUGUAUAGAGGUGCAAUGGUGCAGCUGCACGCCCUGGGCAGAGGUAGCACAUGGGGCAGAGCCAGCCACUGCCUGAGCAGUAGUGGUGUGGUUGGUUGCCAGGCGGGUUAGCAGCUAUUUUUGCACCACCUCCCCUCUAAAGUUGGUGCCUAAGGCUGUUGCCCCAGUUAUGCCCCCACAUCCUUCUGUCCCAGUUAGGCUACUGAGUGUGUAUCUAGCGAGCAUUGUGAUGUGGCAUCUUUAGUUAUUGUAAGUCAAUAUGAUAGGCCAGAUCCUUAAUAGGUGCAUCUACAUGUACAAUUAAUGUGAAGCAAUAAACUCCUGAGCUUAUUGCUCUGGAGUUUAUUGCCUCUGGGCAUGCCAUUUGGGCCUGUGCCUGGGACUACAGCAGGAUUGGAGCACCCCAGCUCCCAGCAGUCCUGGAGGGUCAGCCUGCCAGCCUUGGACUGCCUCCCCCAGCUCAAUGUGCUGUGGAGGGGAUGCCUGGGGCAUGAAGGUACUUCAGUGUGGCUAGCCGGCAGGCAGCCCCUGCGGUGAAGCACCCUCAUGCCCCAGCUAGCUGUGUUGGUGUCUACACAUGUGCUGUUGGGGAGUAAAAAACUGCAGCAGGAUAAUACUUGUAAAUACUUUCCUUUUAACUGCUGCAGAGUGAAUUAGUUUACUCCAGCCCGAUAGGGGCACACGUGUAGACAUGCAACGUUUACUGAAGAUCCAAUUAGUCUUCUCCACAGUAAAUGUCUCAUGUAGAUGUGCCCAGUGGGUGUAAAUUAGCACAGCUCUUUUGGAGCCAACAGGAGGACUGAGCCCGCUCUUUGAGGAUGUUGAGUCAAGAUAGUUGGGUGGAAGCAGUGUGGUUUGCACCACCAGUUGCUUUCAAAACAAUGAUUCAAAAACACUGUGGUUUAUGCAGAGAGCAGGGAUUUGUAGCAUACUUUUGUUUUGACAUAGAGAUUCCCCUUUCCUAAUACAGCCCACGUGCUUGAAGGAAAGAUGAUGGCAGCCCCAGUCUGACCCUGAUGUCUCUCUCGUUAGGAGCCAGCUUAAGAAUUUCACACCUCACUUAAUGCCAAAUUCAAUUUGCUGUUAUUUAUAAAGAUUACUUGCACAAAGAAGAGGCUGCUAGUUUAAACAGGGUCUGAAAGAAUUGGAGCAUUUAGAAGUGUGCAGCAGAGCAUGCCAAAUUAAGCUGGUUUUCUAAGGACAGGCAGUUUCUUUGAUUUUCAUUAAUUUAUUGCGUGUGUAAUUAUUUAAAGAAUUACACAUGGAGCUCAAAGAAAAUUCUCUGAAUUGGUUGGAAAAAAUCCAUUUAAGCCUAACAAGGGUGUACAAUGAUGUGACAAUUAUAUGAACUAAAGUCCUCUAAUUAUAUGAGGAACAUUCAAUAAACGCCUGUCUCAGUUUUUAUCCCAGGGUACAUCCCCUUUCACUGACUACAGGUUGAGCUGUUACGAUCUUUCAGCUCUUUUCUGGUUUGAAAUAUAGACAUUCUCAUCCUCUUUCCAUUCAGUCUACCAGCCCCUUGCAGCUAGCAGUUUCCCCUGUAUACAGAUUUCCUACUCUUUUCUCUGUUGCCACGCCAGAACCGAGGUGCGAUCAGACCUCCAUUGUUCUAUGUGCACUUCCAGUACAGAGUAGGCAGAAUCCCUACUUCAGGGACUGCAACCUAGACACAACUGAAAAGGAAGAAGGGAAUGGAGAAAUACAAGUGUGCACUGUCCUAGAUCACAUAGGAAGGCUGUGGCAGAACUAGGAAAUGAACUCAGAGCUCAAGUCCGAAUAUGGUGUCUUACAUAUAAUACUCUCUCUCUCCUCUGUAGGCUGCCCUGUGCCUGAAAUGCUCUCCUUCCUUCUUGCUGAGUGUCAGGUCUUUUACCUCUCUUCACAUCUUUUUUUCAAAUAAAACUUUUUUUUUCCUCUCAUGGAAAAUGUUGACCAAGAGAAAAGGAUGCCUCAUUUUGUUCCCUGGGGUAAAGACAGGGCUUGACUCACAGGGGUUCCUGGCUGUGGUGCAUCUAGUCCAACUAGAGAGCUCACCUUAUAGGUUAUGCCUACAGUGCUGCUGCAGAGCUGUGAAGAAUGCAGCAAGGAAGCAUGUUCCUGUUCUGCACAUGGCAAACCCAGGAAUGAGGCAGAGAACUGGCUCUGAGGAUGCCCCUGCUGCCUUCCACUUUCUCUGGUUUGCUUCACACUGUGGUAGGCUGGGCAAAUCCAGAGCAGGAAUGGAGGUGGGAGGGGCAGGGGCAAGGGACAUACUUCUCAUGACAUGUUCCAUCCCUGAGAGUACCAUUGAAACAGUAGAGACAGACAGACUUACAGAGGAGAAUAGGAAUAAAGACACUUAAGCUACAACUCUCCGGAGGUCCUGCAGAGUAUUUUGACUCAACAUACUUCUAUUUUCAGACAUCUUUAUUUUUUGAAGGAACCGCUUUCCUUUGUUGUGGGAAGCCACAAGCCAACCAGCCACAGCCAGCUUUCCAUAAGCCAACCUUUUGCCAAAGAAAAACAUUAAAAACCCCAGCUUGGAUGGAAAAUUGCUUACCACACCUGCAUCAUUUAGCCUACCCAUGUUAAUCUGAUCUCCAAAACAGUUCCCUCUUUACUAUGAAAAAGAAUUAUCCUCACUGUUGGUCUCUUGAUCUAACCACAAAGUAGUGCUUCAUCUCAGCUGAUGGCUAGUUGCAUGGGCAGAUGCAGUCCACUGCUCAUUGUAGGUGCAGGCCUUUAGGUUCAAAGCUGUGGACAAAAAAGUCUUGGCUAAAAUAAAAUUAUUAAACUUAGCUGCUAAAAAAUGUUUUUAAGCCGGAGGCCAAAUAAUGGAGUCUUGCAGCAAAUUUCUUCCCAUGACCCCGGUCCCAAGCAGUCCCACCACAAGCCAGAAUUAAAAAUUACUGUUAGAAUGUACUCUCCCUUUUUGUAACUAAGAAAGUAUCUAAGUGGGAGUGAAGGCUGCUGGGGGCUUGAGCACCCCUUUAGAGCACUGUGGAGGUAGCCCCCAUGCUGGAUUUCUGUUUCCAUGCAUUUUGAAGGCUGCACCACUUAAUCCUCCACUUAGAUGAGAUUCUACACAGAGAUUCCUGGUGUUUAUUGUGGGCUCUAAACUUCCUUCCAACUUUUCUUCUUGGCAAGAGAAUGAUAUGCACUAAAGGAAUUUAAUGAAGCAGAUACCAUCAAAAUGCUCUCGUUCAGUUUGGAUUCCAUUGUUGCUGAAGGGAAAUAUUACUGGCUGACGAAGCAUAAAGUAACAUGCACAACUAAGGGAAAGCAUGGUCUAAAGCAGUGUUCUGAACCCAUGGGUCGUGACCCAAAAAUGGGUCACAAGAAUAUGUGAAAGGGUCGUGAACCAACUUUAAAAAUUAAUCAACAGGCUUUAAAAAUGGAUUCCCCUUUAAUGGAGAAAAAUGUGAGAAACUGGCUUUUCCUGUGGAGACUGGCAGAGCUCCAGCCUGCUAGGAGCUGCUUGGGACCCAGGCCCCCCAAGCCCCCCCGCCACACCCCUCCUGCCCCACACACCCACUCCCUGCUUUGCACACUGGGGGGGCUAGGGCCUGGGGGCAGGAGGCACAGUUUGGGAGUGAGAGACACUGGGUUGGGACUGAUCAUCUAUGUUUACAAAUGGGUCCUGGUACAAAAAAGGUUGAGAACCGCUGAUCUAGAAGUUGAGAUUUUAGCCUGAGACUUGACAGUUUAGUUUGUGGCUAUCCCACAGCUCUCCUUUUGUGACUUCUUGGAUUAGUCACUAAUCUCCUGUAAGGGCACUUUCCUACCUCAUGGAAGAGUUGUGAGACUAAAUUCAUUAAUGGCUGUGGGGAGCUCAGAUAUGACAGAGAUGUGGCAUAUAGAAGUCCCUUCACGAGGAGGAGAGGAGAGCACUGCACUGCAACUCGCUCCCAGAGCAGUAAUCUACCUAUGUGCUGAGUGCUGAGCCAGGUUACCUGCAUACGCAGGAGAGAGAGGGGGAAGCAUGAGUUUUGUCCUCAACACAGUGUUGUGUGUUUUCUUUCUUCAAAAACAUUUAAGAGUCCAGUAGAGAGAAGAGGAGAGUUUUACAAGUUAACUGACUUUACUUGUCCAUAACUGUCCCUUCCACCAUACUGCCCACCAUUCUCCCCUCAAUUUGAGAAACUUUCUCAGGUCUUUAAAAAUCCAAGUGCAAUACAUUUAGCUUAAAAUUAUAUUUUAAAUAUAUAUAUUUUAGUACUGUAAGUUUUCAGCCACUGUGAUCUCCAGUCUGUGCUGGAAGUGACCUAGGGUCUGGCACUUAUCAAAUUCAGAUCCUUCAGUGUUACACACCUACUUGCCAUUUGGGGUUUCUUUCUCCAACUCUCAAUUUCUUGCCCCAAUGCUGUUGAAAGGUGAAUCUCUAGCAAUCAAUUUAUCAAAUGGUCUCCAAGAGACUCGGCUGCAGGAGAGCCCGCUGGAUGUGGAGAUUAAUAAGAGAUUUGUAGUGGUGAGAUUUCUUUUCUCCCCACUGAAUGUAUUUUUCUCAGGUUUCAAUUAAUCCUAUUCAGGAGCUGACUAAGGGCCUGAUCCUGCACCCCUUCCUUUUGAGGUCAUGGCUGCAAAGGCUGCAGGAAUGAGCAUUUCUUCCCUUAUGCUUAUUCUAUGUCUUUUGGGAAAAUGCACAGGCACAUCUACACAUGCACACAUACACACAAAGCUCCAAAGCUUUUAAAAAAUGUUCCUGCAUCUAUCAGAGCAUCCCAUUUUUAAUCUUACUAAUACCUUCUCUUCUAUUUUAAGAGCCAGCUUUUCAAAUCAGAUGGACCAAGCUGGGUAUGCAAAGGGCAAACUCACUCCACAUGGCAGAUGUACUACCUAACACCUUGAAAGGAAAAUUGAGAAGAAAGUAACAUUCAGAGAUAAGCUUCUUGGGAGCCAAAGUGUAAAGCUGAAUUGGACCAAUAGGAGAGGAGUACCAUUUCAGCAUUAGAAGUGUAGGAGAAGAUCUGCAGAGCCAUUAAGCAUUUGGAGUCUGCUUUUGGGAAAGAGAGGAUUGCUUUUGGAGUCCUUCAAGUGUGAUCUAACCCUUUGAAGAACACAGGUAAUAGGAUGAUUUUAUAUAUGACCUUUCUCUUUCACCUUCACUGCAAGUAUCAUUCAGGAGUUGCACGAAUAUGCCAGUCAUGGAAACACAUGUGGUAAAAAUGUGGAAAUGCUAUAGUAGGUCUAGACAAAGUAAGAGUGAAACAUGCCAUCUGGUAGUAAAGCAGGGGUUUUACUGAUAUAGUUGCUUUUAAAAUAUACGUGGAGGGGCACAGGGUAGAGAUUAGAGCAGUGGUUUUCAACAUACAACCCAUGGGCUGCAUGUGGCCCAAUCAGCACACUAACUGCAGCCCAUGUGACAUCCUGUCAGGUGGUUGUUUUUUUUAAAUGGAUACACAGGAAGUAAGUUGUGUGGGUGCAAUGCAUAUAACACGUUGAGAGCUGCAAGUGUGGCUCACUAUGGCAAACAGGUUGAGACCCACUGGAUUAGAGGGAGAGAAUGGGGAAAUGGAGAUUGAUUGGAGUACAUGGUCAAAGGAAUCCAUAAACAGCUACCAAAGCCAUUACAGCAGUCAGGAAUAACCAGCACACAGAUUGUCGUGCAUGUUGCUUUUACCUGGAUCCCUUCCCCUUACUGACUACAGAAGAAGAAGUUAGUGUAGGAGCUCUGUGUCCCAUGAGAGUCCCUCUUGUAUCAGUAGGGCCUUUAUGCAGCCAACUAAACUAGCUCAGUGGUGUAAAUCUGUACUAACAUGGGGAGAAGGUAGGAUCCUUACAUUCAGUGUAGUGAGAUUUGGUAUAUGUACUGCCCAAAAAAGUUACUGAAACUAAAUUGAACAAAAUGUGAGAUAGAUGUGCUGUCCCACCUGUUAGAGAUGAUGAUGGGAGUUUAUUUCACACAAUUAGAAUUUACUAAAAAUCAGAAAUUCAGUCAUGGGAAAUGUUGCCAUUAUAUAUAUAUAUAUAUUCUGACUUGGAACAACAGGAAGGUCAAAAUUAUCACUUAAACAAAAUGUCCAAAAAGCUCAUUUUGAGUUAAUCAUAACAUUUUGUUUUGAUAAUCGACUUGUUUUUAUUUUGACUUUUUAAUUUCAUUUUUAUUUAUAUUAUUUGAUAAAUGACAAACAUUUAAAUAUUUAGCCAGAA